RNAcentral lists this transfer RNA (36 nucleotides) under Salvia durifolia. RNAcentral describes it as "partial tRNA-His". The record is from RNAcentral. Lineage: Eukaryota; Viridiplantae; Streptophyta; Magnoliopsida; Lamiales; Lamiaceae.
GGCGGAUGUAGCCAAGUGGUAGUGGAUUGUCAAGGC